This 465-nucleotide ribosomal RNA is filed under the name Vreelandella stevensii. Its description in RNAcentral is "partial 16S ribosomal RNA". It matches the Rfam family "Bacterial small subunit ribosomal RNA", at positions 338 to 795 of the family's 1533-position model. Lineage: Bacteria; Pseudomonadati; Pseudomonadota; Gammaproteobacteria; Oceanospirillales; Halomonadaceae. The record is from RNAcentral.
CCUACGGGUGGCUGCAGUGGGGAAUAUUGGACAAUGGGGGGAACCCUGAUCCAGCCAUGCCGCGUGUGUGAAGAAGGCCCUCGGGUUGUAAAGCACUUUCAGUGAGGAAGAACGCCUGGUGGUUAAUACCCAUCAGGAAAGACAUCACUCACAGAAGAAGCACCGGCUAACUCCGUGCCAGCAGCCGCGGUAAUACGGAGGGUGCGAGCGUUAAUCGGAAUUACUGGGCGUAAAGCGCGCGUAGGUGGCUUGAUAAGCCGGUUGUGAAAGCCCCGGGCUCAACCUGGGAACGGCAUCCGGAACUGUCAAGCUAGAGUGCAGGAGAGGAAGGUAGAAUUCCCGGUGUAGCGGUGAAAUGCGUAGAGAUCGGGAGGAAUACCAGUGGCGAAGGCGGCCUUCUGGACUGACACUGACACUGAGGUGCGAAAGCGUGGGUAGCAAACAGGAUUAGAUACCCCAGUAGUC